RNAcentral lists this ribosomal RNA (421 nucleotides) under uncultured bacterium. Its description in RNAcentral is "partial 16S ribosomal RNA". It matches the Rfam family "Bacterial small subunit ribosomal RNA", at positions 361 to 774 of the family's 1533-position model. The record is from RNAcentral.
AUUUUGGACAAUGGGGGCAACCCUGAUCCAGCCAUCCCGCGUGUGCGAUGAAGGCCUUCGGGUUGUAAAGCACUUUUGGCAGGGAAGAAAAGGCGCGGGUUAAUACCCUGUGCCGCUGACGGUACCUGCAGAAUAAGCACCGGCUAACUACGUGCCAGCAGCCGCGGUAAUACGUAGGGUGCAAGCGUUAAUCGGAAUUACUGGGCGUAAAGGGUGCGCAGGCGGCCUGGCAAGAAAGGUGUGAAAUCCCAGGGCUUAACCUUGGAAUGGCACUUUUAACUGCCAAGCUAGAGUAUGUCAGAGGGGGGUAGAAUUCCGCGUGUAGCAGUGAAAUGCGUAGAGAUGCGGAGGAAUACCGAUGGCGAAGGCAGCCCCCUGGGAUAAUACUGACGCUCAUGCACGAAAGCGUGGGGAGCAAACA